GACGAACGCUGGCGGCGUGCUUAACACAUGCAAGUCGAACGGAAAGGCCCCCUUGUGGGGUACUCGAGUGGCGAACGGGUGAGUAACACGUGAGUAACCUACCCUUGACUUUGGGAUAACUUCAGGAAACUGGGGCUAAUACCGGAUAGGAGCUCCUGCUGCAUGGUGGGGGUUGGAAAGUUUCGGCGGUUGGGGAUGGACUCGCGGCUUAUCAGCUUGUUGGUGGGGUAGUGGCUCACCAAGGCUUUGACGGGUAGCCGGCCUGAGAGGGUGACCGGCCACAUUGGGACUGAGAUACGGCCCAGACUCCUACGGGGGGCAGCAGUGGGGAAUAUUGCACAAUGGGCGGAAGCCUGAUGCAGCAACGCCACGUGCGGGAUGACGGCCUUCGGGUUGUAAACCGCUUUCGCCUGUGACGAAGCGUGAGUGACGGUAAUGGGUAAAGAAGCACCGGCUAACUACGUG
This 465-nucleotide ribosomal RNA is filed under the name uncultured bacterium. RNAcentral's name for it is "partial 16S ribosomal RNA". It matches the Rfam family "Bacterial small subunit ribosomal RNA", at positions 28 to 507 of the family's 1533-position model. The record is from RNAcentral.